RNAcentral lists this long non-coding RNA (406 nucleotides) under Homo sapiens (human). Its description in RNAcentral is "HSALNT0337631". The record is from RNAcentral. Lineage: Eukaryota; Metazoa; Chordata; Mammalia; Primates; Hominidae.
AGACCUUGUGACCAGCUACCAACUUGAAGAAUGGAUAAGAGUUUACUUAAGGGUGGGGGCACUAUCAGACUUGUUCUACAGGAGCUUCAGAUAUAUACCUGUCGUGGUUUGGCUCUGUGUUUCCACCCAAAUCUCAUGUCAGAUUGUAAUCCCCACACGUUGAAGGAGGGGCCUGGUGGGAGGUGAUUGAAUCACGGGAGCAGACUUGUCCCUUGCUUUUCUAGCGAUGGAGUUCUCAGGAGAUCUGGUUGUUUGAAAGUGCGUGGCACUUUCCCCUUUCCUGUCUCUCUCUCUCUCCUGUUCUGCCAUGGUAAGACGUGUUUGCUUCCCCAUAGCCUUCCACCAUGACUGUAAAUUUCCUGAGCCCUCCCAGCCAUGCUUUCUGUACAGCCUGUGGAACUGUGAG